CAGCAGCCGCGGGAAUACGAAGGGUGCAAGCGUUACUCGGAAUUACUGGGCGUAAAGCGUGCGUAGGUGGUGGUUUAAGUCCGUUGUGAAAGCCCUGGGCUCAACCUGGGAAUUGCAGUGGAUACUGGGUCACUAGAGUGUGGUAGAGGAUAGUGGAAUUUCCGGUGUAGCAGUGAAAUGCGUAGAGAUCGGAAGGAACAUCUGUGGCGAAGGCGACUAUCUGGGCCAACACUGACACUGAGGCACGAAAGCGUGGGGAGCAAACAGGAUUAGAUACCCCCGUAGUCCAUGUCUCUUAUAC
This 301-nucleotide ribosomal RNA is filed under the name uncultured bacterium. Its description in RNAcentral is "partial 16S ribosomal RNA". It matches the Rfam family "Bacterial small subunit ribosomal RNA", at positions 509 to 807 of the family's 1533-position model. The record is from RNAcentral.